RNAcentral lists this ribosomal RNA (425 nucleotides) under uncultured bacterium. RNAcentral describes it as "bacterial SSU rRNA". It matches the Rfam family "Bacterial small subunit ribosomal RNA", at positions 356 to 773 of the family's 1533-position model. The record is from RNAcentral.
GGGGAAUUUUGGACAAUGGGCGCAAGCCUGAUCCAGCAAUGCCGCGUGAGUGAUGAAGGUCUUCGGAUUGUAAACCCCUGUCGAAUGGGACGAAAGACCCGGGAGCUAAUCAUCCUGGGAGUGACGGUACCGUUAAAGGAAGCCACGGCUAACUCUGUGCCAGCAGCCGCGGUAAUACAGAGGUGGCAAGCGUUGUUCGGAAUUACUGGGCGUAAAGGGCGCGUAGGCGGCCUACUAAGUCAGACGUGAAAUCCCCCGGCUUAACCUGGGAACUGCGUCUGAUACUGGAAGGCUUGAGUAUGGGAGAGGGAUGUAGAAUUCCAGGUGUAGCGGUGAAAUGCGUAGAUAUCUGGAGGAAUACCGGUGGCGAAGGCGGCAUCCUGGACCAUUACUGACGCUGAGGCGCGAAAGCUAGGGGAGCAAAC